GCCCGGAUGGCGGAAUAGGUAGACGCGCUGGUCUCAAACACCAGUGGGGCGACCCAUCUCGGUUCGAGCCCGAGUCCGGGUACGA
RNAcentral lists this transfer RNA (85 nucleotides) under Bacteroides sp. CAG:927. Its description in RNAcentral is "transfer RNA-Leu(CAA)". It matches the Rfam family "tRNA". Rfam says of the family: Transfer RNA (tRNA) molecules are approximately 80 nucleotides in length. Their secondary structure includes four short double-helical elements and three loops (D, anti-codon, and T loops). Further hydrogen bonds mediate the characteristic L-shaped molecular structure. tRNAs have two regions of fundamental functional importance: the anti-codon, which is responsible for specific mRNA codon recognition, and the 3' end, to which the tRNAs corresponding amino acid is attached (by aminoacyl-tRNA synthetases). tRNAs cope with the degeneracy of the genetic code in two manners: having more than one tRNA (with a specific anti-codon) for a particular amino acid; and 'wobble' base-pairing, i.e. permitting non-standard base-pairing at the 3rd anti-codon position. The record is from RNAcentral. Lineage: Bacteria; Pseudomonadati; Bacteroidota; Bacteroidia; Bacteroidales; Bacteroidaceae.